RNAcentral lists this ribosomal RNA (849 nucleotides) under epibiont metagenome. RNAcentral's name for it is "bacterial SSU rRNA". It matches the Rfam family "Bacterial small subunit ribosomal RNA", at positions 658 to 1520 of the family's 1533-position model. The record is from RNAcentral.
AAGAUGGAAUUAGUAGUGUAGGGGUAAAAUCCGUAGAGAUUACUAGGAAUACCGAAACGAAGCGAUCUUCUGGAACAGUACUGACGCUGAGAUGCGAAAGCGUGGGGAGCAAACAGGAUUAGAUACCCUGGUAGUCCACGCCCUAACGAUGAAUGUUAGUCGUUGGAGUGCUAGCCACCUUCAGUGAUGCAGCUUAACGCAUUAAACAUUCCGCCUGGGGAGUACGCCCGCAAGGUUAAAACUCAAAGGAAUAGACGGGGACCCGCACAAUUGUUGGAACCAUUUGUUUAAUUCGAAGAUACCGAAGAACCUUACCUGGCCUUGACAUAUACCAGAACCUGCCAGAGAUGUUGGGGUGCCUUCGGGAACUGGUAUACAGGUGCUGCACGGCUGUCGUCAGCUCGUGUCGUGAGAUGUUGGGUUAAGUCCCGCAACGAGCGCAACCCUCGUGACUAGUUACUAACAGCAUAGGCUGAGGACUCUAGUCAGACUGCCUUCGUAAGGAGGAGGAAGGUGGGGACGACGUCAAGUCAUCAUGGCCCUUACGCCAGGGCGACACACGUGCUACAAUGGGGAGGACAAUGAGAAGCGAAAUCGUGAGAUGGAGCAAAUCUAUAAACCUUCUCUCAGUUCGGAUUGUAGUCUGCAACUCGACUACAUGAAGCUGGAAUCACUAGUAAUCGUGAAUCAGCCAUGUCCGGUGAAUACGUUCCCGGGUCUUGUACUCCCGCCCGUCACCCAUGGGAGUUGAUUUCACCCGAAGCGGGGAUGCUAAAUAGGCUACCCGCCCGGUGGAAUUAGCGACUGGGGUGAAGUCGUAACAAGGUACCGUAGGAGAACCUGCGGUUG